This 253-nucleotide ribosomal RNA is filed under the name uncultured bacterium. RNAcentral describes it as "partial 16S ribosomal RNA". It matches the Rfam family "Bacterial small subunit ribosomal RNA", at positions 524 to 776 of the family's 1533-position model. The record is from RNAcentral.
UACGUAGGGGGCGAGCGUUGUCCGGAUUUAUUGGGCGUAAAGGGUGCGUAGGCGGUUGUUUAAGUUUGGUGUGAAAUCUCCCGGCUCAACUGGGAGGGUGCGCCGAAUACUGAAUGACUAGAGUGCGGGAGAGGAAAGUGGAAUUCCUGGUGUAGCGGUGAAAUGCGUAGAUAUCAGGAGGAACACCGGUGGUGUAGACGGCUUUCUGGACCGUAACUGACGCUGAAACACGAAAGCGUGGGUAGCAAACAGG